RNAcentral lists this ribosomal RNA (316 nucleotides) under Escherichia coli. RNAcentral's name for it is "bacterial SSU rRNA". It matches the Rfam family "Bacterial small subunit ribosomal RNA", at positions 993 to 1309 of the family's 1533-position model. The record is from RNAcentral. Lineage: Bacteria; Pseudomonadati; Pseudomonadota; Gammaproteobacteria; Enterobacterales; Enterobacteriaceae.
GAACUUUCCAGAGAUGGAUUGGUGCCUUCGGGAACUGUGAGACAGGUGCUGCAUGGCUGUCGUCAGCUCGUGUUGUGAAAUGUUGGGUUAAGUCCCGCAACGAGCGCAACCCUUAUCCUUUGUUGCCAGCGGUCCGGCCGGGAACUCAAAGGAGACUGCCAGUGAUAAACUGGAGGAAGGUGGGGAUGACGUCAAGUCAUCAUGGCCCUUACGACCAGGGCUACACACGUGCUACAAUGGCGCAUACAAAGAGAAGCGACCUCGCGAGAGCAAGCGGACCUCAUAAAGUGCGUCGUAGUCCGGAUUGGAGUCUGCA